Molecule: long non-coding RNA, 616 nt
Filed under: Linum usitatissimum (flax)
Lineage: Eukaryota; Viridiplantae; Streptophyta; Magnoliopsida; Malpighiales; Linaceae
Description: long non-coding RNA (LUSI_LNC002433)
Source: RNAcentral
AUUAGGUCCUCUCCCAUUCAGAAAAUCUAAUGCUGAUGUGUAACCUCCCGUUGUCCUCAAUUCGACUGAGCCGUUAAGGAAGAUACAAAAGAAGGGUUAUGAACAGUCAUCUGGAUUUCCCUUCGAUUUCAACUCCGCCUCUACAACUUUUUCAACUCCACCGUCGGAUCUGUCUUUUGACGAGCUCCUAAAGGUGUUUGACACAGGAUUUGGACAAACUCUUGACAAGCUCCUGCGUCUUGGGGUAAAUUGCGCUAGAUUUUUAUAUUACAUUCCACUUUCCAGCGAGUUGAGCGGUUCCCGAACUCCGAUGGCAAGAUGACGAAAAAUAAGGGAAGAAGAAAGUUUCCGACCUUCGGCGGUGGAAGAAAGGAUAACCGGGGAAGAAGAAAGAGGACAUGGUUUUAUUUAUUUAUUUUCUUUUAGUUUUUUAAAGAUUAAUUUAAUUUUUUUAUUUAAUUAAAAUUGUGAAAUGGCAUUUAAUGUGGUUUUUGUUUGUCCAGUCAAAUAUAUGUCAUAUUAAUUUUGUUAUGUCAAUUUUGUUUGUCUCAUCAUUAGUAGUAUUAAAAACUUAAUAAUUUUUUUAGUUAAUGAGUUAGAAUUGAUUUAAGACUGA